Molecule: small nuclear RNA, 137 nt
Filed under: Erpetoichthys calabaricus (reedfish)
Lineage: Eukaryota; Metazoa; Chordata; Cladistia; Polypteriformes; Polypteridae
Description: U2 spliceosomal RNA (ENSECRG00000005407.1)
Rfam family: U2 spliceosomal RNA
About the family: U2 is a small nuclear RNA (snRNA) component of the spliceosome (involved in pre-mRNA splicing).
Source: RNAcentral
UCUACUUCUCGGCCUCUUCUAGGUUAAGAUCAAGUGUAGUAUCUGUACUUAUCUUUUUAAUAUCUGAUAGAUUCCCCUGCUUGCAAGGAGAUGUUCCAUAUUAAAUAGAUUUUUGAGAACGGGAGCCGAGAGUCUUU